Molecule: ribosomal RNA, 253 nt
Filed under: uncultured bacterium
Lineage: Bacteria
Description: partial 16S ribosomal RNA
Rfam family: Bacterial small subunit ribosomal RNA
Source: RNAcentral
UACGAAGGGUGCAAGCGUUAAUCGGAAUUACUGGGCGUAAAGGGUGCGUAGGCGGUUCGUUAAGUCUGUCGUGAAAUCCCCGGGCUCAACCUGGGAAUGGCGAUGGAUACUGGCGAGCUAGAGUGUGUCAGAGGAUGGUGGAAUUCCCGGUGUAGCGGUGAAAUGCGUAGAGAUCGGGAGGAACAUCAGUGGCGAAGGCGACCAUCUGGGACAACACUGACGCUGAAGCACGAAAGCGUGGGGAGCAAACAGG